This 548-nucleotide ribosomal RNA is filed under the name uncultured bacterium. Its description in RNAcentral is "bacterial SSU rRNA". It matches the Rfam family "Bacterial small subunit ribosomal RNA", at positions 356 to 896 of the family's 1533-position model. The record is from RNAcentral.
GGGGAAUUUUGGACAAUGGGCGCAAGCCUGAUCCAGCCAUGCCGCGUGUCUGAAGAAGGCCUUCGGGUUGUAAAGGACUUUUGUCAGGGAAGAAAAGGCUGUUGCUAAUACCGACAGCUGAUGACGGUACCUGAAGAAUAAGCACUGGCUAACUACGUGCCAGCAGCCGCGGUAAUACGUAGGGUGCGAGCGUUAAUCGGAAUUACUGGGCGUAAAGCGAGCGCAGACGGUUACUUAAGCAGGAUGUGAAAUCCCCGGGCUCAACCUGGGAACUGCGUUCUGAACUGGGUGACUAGAGUGUGUCAGAGGGAGGUAGAAUUCCACGUGUAGCAGUGAAAUGCGUAGAGAUGUGGAGGAAUACCGAUGGCGAAGGCAGCCUCCUGGGAUAACACUGACGUUCAUGCUCGAAAGCGUGGGUAGCAGACAGGAUUAGAUACCCUGGUAGUCCACGCCCUAAACGAUGUCAAUUAGCUGUUGGGCAACUUGAUUGCUUAGUAGCGUAGCUAACGCGUGAAAUUGACCGCCUGGGGAGUACGGUCGCAAGAUUA